This 253-nucleotide ribosomal RNA is filed under the name uncultured bacterium. Its description in RNAcentral is "partial 16S ribosomal RNA". It matches the Rfam family "Bacterial small subunit ribosomal RNA", at positions 524 to 776 of the family's 1533-position model. The record is from RNAcentral.
UACGUAGGGUGCGAGCGUUGUCCGGAAUUACUGGGCGUAAAGAGCUCGUAGGUGGUUUGUCGCGUUGUCCGUGAAAACUCACAACUCAAUUGUGGGCGUGCGGGCGAUACGGGCAGACUGGAGUACUGCAGGGGAGACUGGAAUUCCUGGUGUAGCGGUGGAAUGCGCAGAUAUCAGGAGGAACACCGGUGGCGAAGGCGGCUUCCUGGACACUUACUGACGCUGAGACGCGAAAGCGUGGGGAGCAAACAGG